Molecule: ribosomal RNA, 440 nt
Filed under: uncultured bacterium
Lineage: Bacteria
Description: partial 16S ribosomal RNA
Rfam family: Bacterial small subunit ribosomal RNA
Source: RNAcentral
CCUACGGGAGGCAGCAGUCGGGAAUAUUGCGCAAUGGAGGAAACUCUGACGCAGUGACGCCGCGUAUAGGAAGAAGGUUUUCGGAUUGUAAACUAUUGUCGUUAGGGAAGAAAAAAGACAGUACCUAAGGAGGAAGCUCCGGCUAACUACGUGCCAGCAGCCGCGGUAAUACGUAGGGAGCAAGCGUUAUCCGGAAUUAUUGGGUUUAAAGGGUGCGCAGGCGGAAGAUCAAGUCAGCGGUAAAAUUGAGAGGCUCAACCUCUUCGAGCCGUUGAAACUGGUUUUCUUGAGUGAGCGAGAAGUAUGCGGAAUGCGUGGUGUAGCGGUGAAAUGCAUAGAUAUCACGCAGAACUCCGAUUGCGAAGGCAGCAUACCGGCGCUCAACUGACGCCCAUGCACGAAAGUGUGGGUAUCGAACAGGAUUAGAUACCCGAGUAGUC